AAACAAGCUUGCCUAGCAUCACACAGCAGCAUAUGUUCAGCUGGGGCCACCGCCCCUUUUGGCUCAGCACAGGUGCAACGCAAAGGAGCUUUGCUUUUCCUGGGCUCAGGGAAAGUUGAAGGCAACCUGAGAAUAGGUGCUUCCUGGGGAACGGUGUUGAACCUAACCCCCUUCCUCCACUCUUUAAAAUCAGACAGGCUCUGUGCUGAAGACCGACACUGACAGCUUUCGGCCAGGAACUUAUCUUUCCCAGCAACAAAGAACAGGUGCCAGCCAUAGCAAUAGUUUCAGACCCGUGGAGUCAGCUGUGCUGUUGCCAACCUCCAUCACCUGUCCGCCUUUAUCCUGGGCUCUGUUCCUGUGGAUUUGAACAAAUAGAUGAGCGGCAUCGGAAGAAAGCUUUAGCUGCAUGUGUUUGGGUGACCACGAGAGGGCAGCACGUAAGAGACCAGUGUCGGCCCCGCUGCCUUCUUGAACACACCGGAAGCCUCCUAGGAAAACUGCAGAUUUUGUCAGACUGUGAAGUAGAAGAGUCAAAGAGCCUUCAUUGCUUCCUUUUAAAUGACCAGCCUACUAAGGAAUUUAGAAUGCCCAAGUAAGGACUGCUGGUCAGACUGGACUUCAAAAUUCCUGGAUCCUUAAGACCCAAUGCAUCAGACAAAUGUCCUGCUGGAUCCUCCCACCGUCAGCUAAGGGACAGUGCUAGCUCUCUGGUGAGGGAGAUCCGUGUGGAGGUCUCUGGCAUUCCUGGGUCAGUGGAUGGCUGGGAGAACUGCUCAGCUCCAGGUUCCAGGGCCUCUGAUCAAAGCCAACCCUGGGGGCCAGCCAGAGAUAUCGCAAACCUAAGGACUAACGUGGAAUCUACACCUGCCUUGGGAGUAAAGAACAAGCAGGGUGCUUUCCGGGAUGGCUUUGGGAUGAGAUGCCCAAGACUUAGUGCCCCUGGCAUUGCUCAGCUCUCAAGCUGACUUCCACAGCACCCCCAUGGAAGCUUCAUUGGUGCAUCUUUGGGUCUUGAAUGCAGUGCUACAAUAUUGACGAGGAAAGUCUCCUUGGAACCACAGGAAGACAAAAGUGCAGAGUGAUUUGCUGGCCUUGGCUAGGACAGGGUCCAGGGUGCAGCCAAGGGAGGGUGAUCUAAGCCAGCCAUUCUCCUAGUGUGGCUCCUGGACUAUGCGCAACAGCAUCACCUGGGAGCUUGUUAGAAACACUGGUUCUCAGUUCCCAUGCAGACGUCUUGCAUCAGAAAAUCUGGGGCUGGGGCCCAGCAAUCAGUGUCUCCAAAGGCCCUGAGAUCAUUCUAUUCAAGUUUGGGAACCAGCAACACAGCAUUUAAGUGGAAAUGUUUAUAGUUGCAAAGCCAGGUGAAGCUUGAAAUGCAUCAUAGAGGAAAUGAGGACAAGAAUGUAGAAAAAGAGUAAAAACAGAGAGGAAAAAAAUUUACAAGCCAUCAUAGAGUGAAAGAGCUUCCCCUGCUGCCUGGGGGUGUGGGAAAUGAGAGUUGCACCUGCUCACAAGUAUGACCAGCAAUUUAAUAUCUAUCUAGAGCUUUCAACCCUGCCAUGUCAAAUUUAUUUAGCUAAAAACAACUCUUGUGGUGGUGACCUUUUAUUCAGCUAAUAUUACUCCCCUCAAUGCCUCCAAAGCACACAGAGAAAUUGGAGGGCUGAUGAAAAUCUUUAAAGUCUACUAAAUACUAAAGCCUUCCCAAACACUGUGUACUUUUCAGAGAGAGUUUCUUUUUAUUGGAAUUUCAGAUUAUUGAAAGGUUAUCUGUCUCCUGUUCCUAGAGGGAUUAAAAUAAAACAAAAGCAAGAAGAA
Molecule: long non-coding RNA, 1821 nt
Filed under: Homo sapiens (human)
Lineage: Eukaryota; Metazoa; Chordata; Mammalia; Primates; Hominidae
Description: HSALNT0394696
Source: RNAcentral